AAGUCGUAACAAGGUUUCCGUAGGUGAACCUGCGGAAGGAUCAUUAAAACGUAUCCAACGUUAACUAAUUGCGAACUCGUCUCUCCUUUGGUAUUUAGAAAUUGGAGCUGUGAAAGGUUUGUUUGAGAUCUUUAACUAGGUCGGCUUUUCACAGUCACUGGCACUUUCGGGUGUCGACAAGAGUAUUUUAUCAAAGCUAUUCUUCUUUCUCUGGCUUUCAUUCAGGCUAGGUUGGGGGAGCUCUAUAUCAUAAACCCUUAUCACCCUUUUUUGCUAGUUGACUUUUUUAAUGUUAAUUUUUACGAAAGUAGAGAUUACACGUUUCAUUAUUUGAACGUAAAAUACAACUCUUAGCAAUGGAUAUCUAGGUUCUC
RNAcentral lists this unclassified non-coding RNA (374 nucleotides) under fungal sp. Its description in RNAcentral is "partial internal transcribed spacer region". The stretch from base 1 to 46 matches the Rfam family "Eukaryotic small subunit ribosomal RNA", at positions 1786 to 1831 of the family's 1831-position model. Lineage: Eukaryota; Fungi. The record is from RNAcentral.